CAUGAGUGGUUGUGGACAUGAAGCUGCCGGGAGGCCCCCCGACUAAUUGAGCGGCCGACUCUCGGUGCAGUGUCCUUUCAAUCGUGUGGGUUUUCGCACCCGCGCUACUUUAAAGUGCUUGCGUUCUUCUACCUGUCUUGCGGGAAGUUGACGUUUGUACAUGUUGCCUUCGUCGCGUGCGUCCUUUGGGCGUGUUGCGUCGACCAGAUAGCUUUACCUGUGAUGCCUUGCUAGGUCUGCCAUACAGGCAUGCCUAGCUGAGGGGACCUCGUUUCGCGCUAUUUGUCUUGGAUGAUGCUCAUGUUAUAGGGUCGUGGCCUUUUGGUGCCACGUGCCUCAGAAAAAGUCCCUUGGGAAAAGUGACAGUUGGCUCGGUUGCCAUUGUUGUUAGACCGUCAUGGGUUUGCAACGUGCCUGGUGGCGCAGCCAGCUGGUCCAUAAGGACGUGCU
Molecule: unclassified non-coding RNA, 450 nt
Filed under: Cynodon dactylon (Bermuda grass)
Lineage: Eukaryota; Viridiplantae; Streptophyta; Magnoliopsida; Poales; Poaceae
Description: partial external transcribed spacer
Source: RNAcentral